Molecule: ribosomal RNA, 274 nt
Filed under: uncultured bacterium
Lineage: Bacteria
Description: partial 16S ribosomal RNA
Rfam family: Bacterial small subunit ribosomal RNA
Source: RNAcentral
AUACGGGGGGUGCAAGCGUUGUCCGGAAUCAUUGGGCGUAAAGGGUUCGUAGGUGGAAUUAUAAGUCUGGUGUGAAAGCCCACAGCUCAACUGUGGAACUGCACUGGAUACUGUUUUUCUUGAGUUAUAGAGGGGUUUGUGGAAUUUCUGGUGUAGAGGUGAAAUUUGUAGAGAUCAGAAAGAACACCGGUGGCGAAGGCGACAAACUGGCUAUUAACUGACACUGAGGAACGAAAGCGUGGGGAGCGAACAGGAUUAGAAACCCCAGUAGUCC